RNAcentral lists this ribosomal RNA (16 nucleotides) under Rhodotorula glutinis. RNAcentral describes it as "partial 28S ribosomal RNA". RNAcentral also lists the same sequence under 1 other name. Lineage: Eukaryota; Fungi; Basidiomycota; Microbotryomycetes; Sporidiobolales; Sporidiobolaceae. The record is from RNAcentral.
UAGAUCUCAAAUCAGG